RNAcentral lists this ribosomal RNA (206 nucleotides) under uncultured bacterium. RNAcentral's name for it is "partial 16S ribosomal RNA". It matches the Rfam family "Bacterial small subunit ribosomal RNA", at positions 568 to 773 of the family's 1533-position model. The record is from RNAcentral.
CGCGUAGGCGGGGCCGCAAGUCCGGGGUGAAAGCCCCCAGCUCAACUGGGGAAGCGCCCCGGAUACUGCGGCCCUCGAGGGGGGUAGGGGCGUGCGGAACUUCCGGUGGAGCGGUGAAAUGCGUAGAUAUCGGAAGGAACACCGGUGGCGAAAGCGGCGCGCUGGACCCCUUCUGACGCUGAGGCGCGAAAGCCAGGGGAGCAAAC